UAAUGAAUAAAUCUAAUUAAUUAACGACGUGCAAGAGGGUUGUCCAGCAUUUGCGGGCUGGACGAGCAGACGGCAGUGCUUAGACGGAUCCUCGCUCAAAAAUCAGCUAAGUUUAGUACAGCAACAAACCGUGAAGCCCACGAUGAGUUUUUCAACCUUUGUAUGUUGACGCUGUUGUUCAGCCCAGCACAGGCUCUCCCUUUCAGACGCUGAGAACAUCUGACUGUUCAUUCGGGGGGAAGAAGAAAGCCUUCUAAAGUAUUCAAAGAGCCUGGAAUAAAGUCCACAAAAGAUGGAAGGAUACCUGCUCCAGGUCCUUCUCCUCCUCCUGAAUGUCGAAGGCCAGCUCCUGCUGCUCUCUCCCUGCCUGCAAACCACAGAGACGCAGGCUGUUCACUCCCAUAUGCAGACAGCAAUGCUGGAAGAGUGGGGGAUCAUAAACCACAUAAUGGGCAGGGCAGGGCUAUUGGGGGCU
This is a long non-coding RNA of Anguilla anguilla (European eel), 475 nucleotides long. RefSeq lists it as uncharacterized. NCBI's taxonomy places the organism in Eukaryota, Metazoa, Chordata, Actinopteri, Anguilliformes, Anguillidae. The transcript is spliced from 3 exons. The record is from RefSeq and is a predicted model, not a curated record.